This 150-nucleotide ribosomal RNA is filed under the name uncultured Kurthia sp. RNAcentral describes it as "partial 16S ribosomal RNA". It matches the Rfam family "Bacterial small subunit ribosomal RNA", at positions 383 to 525 of the family's 1533-position model. Lineage: Bacteria; Bacillati; Bacillota; Bacilli; Caryophanales; Caryophanaceae. The record is from RNAcentral.
CUGAUGGAGCAACGCCGCGUGAGUGAUGAAGGUUUUCGGAUCGUAAAACUCUGUUGUAAGGGAAGAACAAGUACGUUAGGAAAUGAACGUACCUUGACGGUACCUUAUUAGAAAGCCACGGCUAACUACGUGCCAGCAGCCGCGGUAAUA